RNAcentral lists this ribosomal RNA (465 nucleotides) under uncultured bacterium. RNAcentral describes it as "partial 16S ribosomal RNA". It matches the Rfam family "Bacterial small subunit ribosomal RNA", at positions 28 to 507 of the family's 1533-position model. The record is from RNAcentral.
GACGAACGCUGGCGGCGUGCUUAACACAUGCAAGUCGAACGGAAAGGCCCUGCUUGCAGGGUACUCGAGUGGCGAACGGGUGAGUAACACGUGGGUGAUCUGCCCUGCACUUCGGGAUAAGCCUGGGAAACUGGGUCUAAUACCGGAUAGGAGCCAUUUUUAGUGUGAUGGUUGGAAAGUUUUUUCGGUGUAGGAUGAGCUCGCGGCCUAUCAGCUUGUUGGUGGGGUAAUGGCCUACCAAGGCGGCGACGGGUAGCCGGCCUGAGAGGGUGGACGGCCACAUUGGGACUGAGAUACGGCCCGGACUCCUACGGGAGGCAGCAGUGGGGAAUAUUGCACAAUGGGCGCAAGCCUGAUGCAGCGACGCCGCGUGGGGGAUGACGGCCUUCGGGUUGUAAACUCCUUUCGCUAGGGACGAAGCUUUUUGUGACGGUACCUAGAUAAGAAGCACCGGCUAACUACGUG